GACAGAGGUGCCAAGCGUUAGGCGGAAUCACUGGGCUUAAAGCGUGUGUAGGCGGAUCGUUAAGUACCUUGUGAAAUCCCACGGCUCAACCGUGGAACUGCUGGGUAUACUGGCGAUCUUGAGCCACCUAGGGGCGAGCGGAACAAGCGGUGGAGCGGUGAAAUGCGCAGAUAUCAGGAGGAACACCGGUGGCGAAGGCGGGUCUCUGGGCCGAUACUGACGCUGAGGAGCGAAAGCGUGGGGAGCGAACAGG
Molecule: ribosomal RNA, 253 nt
Filed under: uncultured bacterium
Lineage: Bacteria
Description: partial 16S ribosomal RNA
Rfam family: Bacterial small subunit ribosomal RNA
Source: RNAcentral